This 246-nucleotide long non-coding RNA is filed under the name Elaeis guineensis (African oil palm). RNAcentral describes it as "long non-coding RNA (EGUI_LNC023041)". The record is from RNAcentral. Lineage: Eukaryota; Viridiplantae; Streptophyta; Magnoliopsida; Arecales; Arecaceae.
AACUUUAUGAUACGAUGGCGAUGCCUUUUCGUGAUAUUGCUAAUAUUUGGCUGCACAAUCGCUCAGAGGCUAAGCAAGAUAAUCUUAACACUGGCCAAUCAAAUUGAAGCUUCGCUCGUGCUCAACCUAAUCUAACCUCAGACUUAACACACCUGUGGCAUUUGGCAUUCUCGAACCUAGCCGUCAAAUGUAGGUCUCCGUUCAAGACAACAAGCCACUUAUUUGAUUAGUAGACAUGAUUCACUU